Molecule: ribosomal RNA, 490 nt
Filed under: uncultured bacterium
Lineage: Bacteria
Description: partial 16S ribosomal RNA
Rfam family: Bacterial small subunit ribosomal RNA
Source: RNAcentral
AUUGAACGCUGGCGGCAGGCCUAACACAUGCAAGUCGAACGGUAACAGAAAGCAGCUUGCUGCUUUGCUGACGAGUGGCGGACGGGUGAGUAAUGUCUGGGAAACUGCCUGAUGGAGGGGGAUAACUACUGGAAACGGUAGCUAAUACCGCAUAACGUCGCAAGACCAAAGAGGGGGACCUUCGGGCCUCUUGCCAUCGGAUGUGCCCAGAUGGGAUUAGCUUGUUGGUGGGGUAACGGCUCACCAAGGCGACGAUCCCUAGCUGGUCUGAGAGGAUGACCAGCCACACUGGAACUGAGACACGGUCCAGACUCCUACGGGAGGCAGCAGUGGGGAAUAUUGCACAAUGGGCGCAAGCCUGAUGCAGCCAUGCCGCGUGUAUGAAGAAGGCCUUCGGGUUGUAAAAUACUUUCAGCGGGGAGGAAGGGAGUAAAGUUAAUACCUUUGCUCAUUGACGUUACCCGCAGAAGAAGCACCGGCUAACUCCGUG